AACGGGUGGAGCCUGCGGUUUAAUUGGAUUCAACGCCGGAAAUCUCACCGGGGCGACAGCAAUAUGAAGGUCAGGCUGAAGACCUUACCCGAUUAGCUGAGAGGUGGUGCAUGGCCGUCGUCAGUUCGUACUGUGAAGCAUCCUGUUAAGUCAGGCAACGAGCGAGACCCACGUCCACAGUUACCAGCAUACCCUCCGGGGUGAUGGGUACACUGUGGAGACCGCCGCUGCUAAAGCGGAGGAAGGAGUGGGCAACGGUAGGUCAGUAUGCCCCGAAUCUCCCGGGCUACACGCGGGCUACAAUGGUUGGUACAAUGGGCAUCUACCCCGAAAGGGGAAGGAAAUCUCUUAAAGCCAAUCGUAGUUCGGAUUGAGGGCUGCAACUCGCCCUCAUGAAGCUGGAAUCCGUAGUAAUCGCGUUUCAACAGAACGCGGUGAAUACGUCCCUGCUCCUU
RNAcentral lists this ribosomal RNA (455 nucleotides) under uncultured Methanosaeta sp. RNAcentral's name for it is "bacterial SSU rRNA". It matches the Rfam family "Archaeal small subunit ribosomal RNA", at positions 883 to 1338 of the family's 1478-position model. Lineage: Archaea; Methanobacteriati; Methanobacteriota; Methanomicrobia; Methanotrichales; Methanotrichaceae. The record is from RNAcentral.